This is a non-coding RNA of Rhodocollybia butyracea, 93 nucleotides long. The record is from the annotation of a GenBank genome assembly. NCBI's taxonomy places the organism in Eukaryota, Fungi, Basidiomycota, Agaricomycetes, Agaricales, Omphalotaceae.
UCCAAUGUGGUGUAGUGGCUAACAUUGCUGUCUUUCACACUUAAGUACCUUUUCCUUGCACAGCAGCCCGGGGUUCGAUUCCCCGCAUUGGAA